CGAACACGUUCGAGACGAACGCAUUGAUACGGUGGCUACCGUCGCCACGCUCUUUCUUAGCAAAUCUCCUGAGCAGCCGAACGCUUGUUAACAGCCGUUCCGACGCAGAGCUAUGUAACUCACUGCUGGGUGACUCUCUUCUGAAAGGGCCAGGAUGAAGGUCAAUUUGUUAUGUAGUGUUUCAUGGCGCAGCAAACACAAAAACAGCACGCCCUAUGAAUAUGAAUGCAAGGCGUAGACCAAAAACUCACAUCGGUGUUUCAUCGUGUGGUUCGAAAACAAGAGACGAUCGCUGCUGUUGGAUGUGGUUGACUCUGCAUUGAACGAGAGUUGGCCUGAGUGGCUUUUGCGUGAUUAUGUUUUGAUUGACUGCGUUUGUCGUAUGAAGUGUUGGUUAAAGCGAGUGUCGUUCGACAUUAACCAUCCUGAAACUGCACAAUCCUAGAUGUAAUACUAAAUAAACGAAAAUAAGCUACGGGCAAAUCCAGGUUCAAAAAAGGCCGAGAAGAAUAAGAAAUCGUACAAACCGGUGGUCAGGUGUUCCGUGAUCAAGAAGAAGGCGAAGAAGAUGGUCGAGAUGACUACGGGAGUCAAACAGCGAAGUCAGGCAGCUGAGCAAGGUGUUGGAGCGAUGCAAAUUAGCAAAAAGCUGGAGGUCAUUUAAAGAUCGGUGAAGGAAACGAAGGUGAAAUGAAACAAGGAUGCGAAAUCAGUGUAAUCAAAUGUCGUCGCGAAGGUCGGAGCGAAUGGUGCAGGAAGUGCAGUUGAAGAAACUGGAAGCGAAAGAUACUCUAAUGGAAGAGGAAAUGAAAGGGAAACGGUAAUUGCUGCAGAAGAAAUUCAGUUUGCUAGAUGAAACUGCCAAAUUACCAAAAUUCAGCGGAAAUCCUAAGGAGUAACCGAUGUCCUUGUCAACCCGGAUAAAAACUAAUCAUAGGGUGUUUGGUGAAAACCAUUCCUGCACCAUACAGUGUACCAGCUACAAUAAAGUGUAUUGUAAUGAAAUGGUUCGCUAUACUAUACAUUUACAUUGGAUUUUUAUGUAACAAUAUAUUAUACUGUUUUUCUUACGUUUGAGCCAUUCACUUUUCCGAAACAUUAUUUUUCCGUGAAUUUUUAAUUAUUUAUUCAGUUUAAGAUUUUUUCCGUGUUUUGUUUUGUUGAUGUUUAUGACUUUUUUUAUGCAAAGGAAAGGAAAGAGAAAAAAAGUGAAUAAGUAUAAACAUCAAUUUAAAGUCAAUAACAUGUUUAAAUCAGUGGUAAACCAGAUGUCCUAAGAACUGCAGGUCCAAGCAGGGGUCCAAGAGAUAUGGCGGGCUAGGUGUGUAGAGUGCGAUGAGAGAAAUACGGAUGUAGGCCAACCCGGAAAGAUGCAGGUCAGAUUACCGUAAAUCAGUGGAUGAGUUCAACACUAUUCUUUCUGUAUUUGCAUUUAGGGGAGUUUCCUCCUCUUCUCUCACGUGAACUUGCCUUCGACCACAAUCGAAUCAAAUGCGGUUGACAAACUUUAUCUUUGACGUAGAGCCAUCUUUAACAUAUGGACUGGACUGAACACUGAAAUGACUUCUAAUAUAGGUUCGUCUGCGGGUUCGCUUUUUAACCUAACUUAUAUUUGAAUCGAACUUGACAGUUUUCUCAUGAGUUGUUAUGUAUUUCAAACUUUAGUCAAGCUGGUGCCUCAAUAUUGCAAUAACGGUUAAGCACGCUGUAAUGAUACUUAUGUACCUCGUCACCCACUUCAUGCAACUACAUUAGUGGUCUAAUAACACUUAGCGCGCUCGGCAUAGUUCCAUCAUGCCGCUCAAAGUGUUGCCACAAAUAAUGCUUAGUUUGCAAAACCCGGUUAUCUGGCUGGUGGGGCAAAGGGAGCCUAAGCUUCAACUGUUAAUGCAAUCAGAGACUACUCCGACUUAGACGUGGGCGAUCCUAUAUAUGAAGGGUUAUUCAAAACACUCUGGAGAAUUCCCAAAGCGCAUUCUAAUAAAUCUAGUAAUCCUAAGAUGCCAUUAAGAGAAGGAAAAUGACUAGAUAAUAUAACUAUAUAUGGCUUAUGUAAUGUAAAACAAUACAACAUAACCAAAGAGAACCAUUCCAAAACCAUUUGAUUAAAUGUAUAACCAGUAGUGAAAUUACAAUUAAAAACAAUUUAUUUACGGUACAUUUUAUUGUUUGAAACCAUUCAUGUACCAUACAAUGUAUGGUAUAUUUAAACCCAUGUAUCAGUAUUUUGAACAAUUCAUUAACAAUAAAAUGUAUGGUUUUGCAAAAAAAUAUAUAUGGGGAAAAUAUUUUUUAUAUUGUUACGAUACUUAACAACCUGUAUAAUAUAUUGUAAAAAUCUUAUUUACAAUUCACGGUAUGGGUGUCUAUAUUACAUCUUGUUGUUUUUGUAUUUUUAUUUUUACAGUGGUGUCUAUUGUAUAAAUAUGGUUCUAAAUAGUACUGUUACAAUACAUUGUUCGGUUUUUCUACUGUAUUUUUUAUUCGGGAACAUACGAAAGUACAAUGAGAAAGUGGGGCUAUAGGGACAAGGAGAACAUAUUUCGGAAGCGGAAUUGCUUGUAAGACUAUGCUCUCAACACUGUAUGUAGUUUUCUCGUGCUUCCCUCCACGGUUCCGAAGGCGAUUAGUGCGCUGAAGCUAAGCUACCAUCAACACAUUAACAGAUAAGGUACUUGGAAUGCUGUCUAUAAGGGCCAACGCGAUGGACAAACUGAUCGAACAUGCAUUGGUGGUGCAGAAUUUGUGUAGCACAAUCGUCGCAGGACUCGUCGUGCCACCUUCUCUCAAACUCGAUUGGGCGAGGCAUCAGAGGACGUUGAGAAAGAUCAUCUUGUUCACCUACAACAAAGUGAUUUAUUCUGUAGCCGAAGAUGCCUGCUUGGUUUGCGGUAUCCAACCGACUGAGAAGAAUCAGGAACUUCGCAGCAAGCCGAAAAGCAAGGCAUUUUGGAAACUCGUUCCAACUAUUCGUCUUCAGAAGUUCCAAAACAGAAGCCAUCGGAGUUCCGGAGUCGAAGCAGCCAGUCGGAAACAAGAUAUAGCUAGGUUGGUGCUACCAAAUGUUUUGCGAUCUGGAAGGGAGGUUGCAAAAACGCUGGGAAGUGUCCGAGAUUUUUGGAUCUAUCGUAUGAGACGAGGUUGGUGACGGAACGUUCGACAACAUGGCGGAAAGUGCGAUGAGAAGCCUUGUGGAAAGAACAAUUGCACCUUUAAACACCAUGAACUGCUGCAUAAAGAACUCACCGCUACUGGGCCUAACAACAAUGCGAGUCGACCAACGCAAGAAGAAACAAAUGCAAACACUCAGCAGUCAAGCUCCGGAGAUCAUUUCGCUAUCUACUUGGAUUGUUCGGGAACAAGAAACAGAUCGACUGCUAUGCAUUUCUUAACUAUGGUACGGAGUUAACGUCGAUGGACCAAGGUUUAGCAGAGGAUUUGGAAGUAGCAGCUAUACCUGCACCACUUUACCUGAAGUGGACAGGUGGAACUCAUCGUUUCGGAGCGGAAUCUCUGAGCGUUGAUGUUGUCCCUAAUGGGCAAACCGGAAGGAGUUUACGCUCAAUGGCGUCCGUAAGGUUGGGGAUUUGCAGUGAUGGCGUGGAGUUUCGUAGCCGUGCGGUUAGGGUCACCAAGCUUAUAAUCGCACCAUGCUAUGGGGUGAGGGUUCGAUUCCCGCUUCGGGCGUUGAAACUUUUCGUGAGAAUAGUUUCUUCCCCGUUUCCACUGGUGCAUGCUCCGUUGUCCGUUGUCUAAUGUUAAGCUUAAAACAGACUGUACAGCCGAAAGCUGAAGACGUUGUCCGUGUCUUUUUUUUUAAGCGGUUGAAUUGUUUGGAGAAGCGAAAGGAACGGGAUCCAAAAUUGGCAUGUGUCCUACGUGAAAAGAUCGCCGAUAACUUGGCUAAGGAUUCGGACGUUCGAAAGCUGUCGACCGAAGAGCUUGAAGAAAAGCAGCAACGAGUGUGGUACAUAUCUGCCUAUUUUACCAGUUGCCAGCUAAAACAAGCUCGGAAAGGUACGCAUAGUUUGGGACGCAGCGGCGGCUUUUCAUGGUGUAUCGUUUAGUUCGGCGCUACUAACAAGGCCAGAUGAGUUUACUUCUCUGCCAGCUGUACUGUGCCAGUUUCGUAAAUAUCGAGUUAGAUUUUGUGGAUUUUUUUUUUAUUCUUUAUUAAAGUGGUUUUCCUCCGUAGGAGGGUUCAUCACUAGUCAGAUUAGAAUUUAUGGAGAUAUUCGUGGAAUAUUUCACCAAGUUCGAAUGCGACUAGUGGACUAACAUUGUCAGCGAUUUCACUAGUGGGGCAGUGUCAACGAGGGUCCAAGCAUAUACGUUAUGAACGUCAUUCGGUGCUUGCUGAUCUCGCUCAGUUUAUGAAGAACCAAAAUGCGGAAAGGUUUCACGGGCACAUUAUGAGGACAAUAUGCUGGCUAGUGAAGAGACAGAAGAAGCUACUAUCGAACUGGCAAAGUCGGAGCGAUAUGUUCAUGCGAAAGGAGGAUUCCAAAUAAGGAACUGGAUCUUAAACUCGCAGCGAGUCCUUGCAGCGUUGCAAGACGAAGGUGUUACGCAGGAGAACCUGGAUUUGACAGCGGAGAUGGGGACAGAGAAGGUCCUAGGGAUGCUAUGGAACACGGCGAAGGACUGCUUUACCUUCAAGGUGUCCUUGACACGGUAUGAUGAAGCACUGCCCAAAGAAACGCGUCACUCUACGAAGAAUGAGGUACUUCGAGUUUUGAUGACAGUUUUCGACCCGCUAGAACAAUAAGGCAACUACCUCAUGCACCUAAAAAUUGUUUUGCAGGAAGUUUGGCGCUCUGGAGUUCAGUGGGGACAGCUGAUCCAAGACAAACAGUACGAGGAAUGGAAAGCUUUCAUCAAACUACUCCCGACAUUGGAGCACGUUACUAUAUCACGUUGUUGCUACCGGCAGGCCACAUCAGUUGGUCAAGAGUAACGCCUCGUGCGACCCCCUGAAUCGCAUUUAAAACCACUUGAAACGCCCCUGAAAUUCCCGUAAACUCCUUGAAAUACUCUUGAAUGCCCACAAAAGCAACCUCAGUCCUCUUGAAACUCUCUGAAACACUUUGAAACGCCUCUGAAAACUCUUAAGGACAGAUUUAUUAGAAUCACAAAAUGGCUACGACAAUGGCCGACUUUGUCACCUACUCACGAUUUUGAGGGCACAAAUCUCUUCGUAAACAAAACCAGCGCACCUGAGCUUCUUAUUUUAAGCUUCUUACAAGUAAGGAAGGACAGAAUAAUUAAAUGCACUGUUGUUCGAAGCUUGCUUCUUGAGAUUUGAGCGUCUAAAGUUCUGAUGCACUGUUGAAGCGGGAUUUCAAGACGUUUGUCUUUAAAACGACCUUAAAAGGCUCCUCAAACCCCUCAAGAAAAAAAAACCUUGAAUGUUUUUAAGUACUCCUUAAACCUCUAUAAUUCCAUUUAAACGCUCUUUGAAUCCUCGUAUUUUUUUUUUAAAUGUCCCUAAAACCACUUGGAACCCCAGAAACGACUCGAAAAAAAAAAACCUUGAAGCACUCCUGAAAUAGUUUGACACACUUCUAAACCCCCACAACUCAAUUGAAAUUCCCCUGAAUCCUCUUGGCACGCUCUUUAAACGUUCCGGAAACCCUAUGGAACUCUUUGAUACGACCCUGAAACAGUGAAACCCCUUCUAACGAUGGCUGUUUGCUUUUGAAACCUCUAAAUUCGCCCUUAAAACCCCUUGAAAUGUCCUUGAAACCACCGUAACACUAUUGAAACUCUCCUGAAAUCCCCGUGAUCCCAAUGAAACGCUACGAAACCUGUCAAAACGCCUAUAAAAGGCUCCUGAAAUUUCCUGAAACAACUCCUUUGAACGCCCCCGAAUCGGCGUUAGCGAACAGCUGUGUUCUGCGGAAUGUACUGCCAAGGUUUCAGAACGUCGACUAUGAAACUUGUUAGGGGCCGGCAACAUCAGGCAACUGUCUCAAUGUGCUUAUGGAACAAGUCCACAAUACAGUGGCAACCCUUGAGACAAUAUUGUGGUCGCUGAGUCUCGAAACAUCGUGAGCCCUAUUGUAUUGAAAAAAAAAAGCAACAUUCUCGUAUGAUCAUGUAUUCCUUAUCACUACUGUUAGGCGGCUAGUGUAGCUCUCGAAGUUCCGAAACUACUGUUUAUCCCUCCAAUGGAUACCUGGGGUCCAUUGGACCCCAGAGCCGCUUUGAAGUGGUCGCAAAAAAGUUUGGAUUGAUAUAUCGGCCCCAUUUUUACAGUACCUUUAAACUAUACCACGAUGAGUUAUUUGUGCAAAAAUACCGAUAGUUUCAUGGCGUACUAUGGAUUAUUUUAGAUUUCAAAGUUGAACCGGGCGAUUUUGAACCCCUGGGGUCCAUUGGACCCCACGGUACGAAUGAUUGUAUCUUUUGAUCGUGACUUGUUAGAAUAAUGUCAAAUAUACUAUAUUAACAAUAUAGGUCACUCUUACGAUUUUUUGGCGACACCUUUUUUGUGAAUGUGGCGCCACCAAGCGUUAGAAGAGUUACUACUACACACUAAAUGCACGCGCUAUCCGAAUGACGUUUAUUCUGUCGAACUGUCAUUGCAAGGUGGGGAUGCCCAUUUCUUCUGAAAUAAUCGAUUUUUUUCCAACUACUCAAAAUUUGAGUAGAAAUUUAAUUAGAACAAAUUUAAUUCUUUCUUCUUAUUGCUUGUUGCGGAGAUAUAGAGAUUCGCGCAGGAGUCUAAACAGGUGGAAUCUCCGAAAUAAACAAUUUUUGGCGUAUAUUAUCGUAGCAGCACCAAAUCGAAGUCGCGGCUCGCGCGACAUGCGAAGUAAAUUUGAACUGAUAAACGUUCAUAACAGACUAAAACACAGACGAUUCCGUUAGCGAGUUAUGAACGGUAUUUUCUCCGGAAAUUACACGAGGAUUUCCUUGUGGGAUCCGUUUCAGAAUUGCACCCUGGAUUUUUUUUUUCUCCAAGAUUCCUUCAGAAGCUCUUGGGGGAUUCCUCCUAGAAAUAAUUCUGGAAUUUUUUUAGGAACUCCUUUCGGGGUUGUUUAGGGAAAGCGUUCCUCCUCCAUUCUCCAACAUUUUUUUUAUCAAUUUUCUCCAGCAGUUUUGAAAAAUCUCCUCCAGAUGUUUGUUCUGGUUUUUUUUUUCAAAAGUUUCUUCUGGGAUUACAUAUCUCCAUGAAUAAAACGCAAUCUGUGAAGUACUAGUUUUGUAGUAAUGAGCUGAAUUUUUGUAUAAUGAGAAAGUUAAUAAUAUCUUAUUAAUAAUAAUUAAUAAUAAUAGGCUCCUAAAGGCCUAUCUCAAUUUCUGCAUAAUUCGAUCGAGCAUUGCUUAAAACGACAUAUUUACUCAUUUUUUAAGUAAUCCUAUUAGGUAAAGCCCGUAAAAUAUAUUUUCAAAAAUUUUAAUAUUUUUUGCAACGCUCCUUGUUUAGCACUCAAUUUAGGGAAAAUUUUGUUUACCGUGUAUGUCAAACAGGAACAUUUGUUGUCAAAAGUGAGCCAAUGUGAUGUCUUUUGCAACCCGCCGUUUCACUUUCGUUACGUCAAGGUUGACCUCGAAUGUCAAGCAAGACCUGCUCACCAUUAUAUUAUUUUCGAGUUUAUUAACUGUUCUGUCAUUGUUUAAGCUCGGAAAAAUUACCAUUGAGAUCAGAAAAGCAUGCUCCUUCGUGUUACGCAGCAAAACCGGGAAAAUAUUUUUCAUUUUAGGACCCUAUUAUUGCAAUAUAAUGGUAACUGCAAUAAUGGUAACAACAAAGCAAGAGUUUUAUGACUGCUUGUCUGAUUUGAUGCUGUUUGAGCAAAACUUUGGGUAACUGUGUUGUUGUAUUCUCAUUUAUUGCAACUUCAACAACAUAGUUCCCAAAGUUUUGCUCAAGCAGCA
Molecule: long non-coding RNA, 7884 nt
Organism: Aedes albopictus (Asian tiger mosquito)
Lineage: Eukaryota; Metazoa; Arthropoda; Insecta; Diptera; Culicidae
Exons: 2
Source: RefSeq, a predicted model, not a curated record